RNAcentral lists this transfer RNA (71 nucleotides) under Adelphocoris lineolatus. RNAcentral describes it as "tRNA-Lys". The record is from RNAcentral. Lineage: Eukaryota; Metazoa; Arthropoda; Insecta; Hemiptera; Miridae.
CAUUAAGUGGCCGAAGAGAAAGCAUUGGUCUUUUAAACCAAAUUAUAGUAAACAUCAAAUACUCUUAAUGA